This 442-nucleotide ribosomal RNA is filed under the name uncultured bacterium. RNAcentral's name for it is "partial 16S ribosomal RNA". It matches the Rfam family "Bacterial small subunit ribosomal RNA", at positions 338 to 795 of the family's 1533-position model. The record is from RNAcentral.
CCUACGGGUGGCAGCAGUGGGGAAUAUUGGUCAAUGGACGCAAGUCUGACCCAGCAACGCCGCGUGAAGGAUGAAGGCUUUCGGGGUUUAAACUUCUUUUUAUGGGGAAGAGAAGAAGACGGUACCCCUUUAAUAAGACACGUCUAACUACGUGCCAUCAGCCACGGUAAUACGUGGGUGGCAAGCGUUGUCCGGAUUUACUGGGUUUAAAGGGCGUGCAGCCGGUGAGACAAGUCAGGUGUGAAAUCCACGGGCUCAACCCGAGAACUGCAUUUGAAACUGGUUGCCUUGAGUUUAGGUGAGGUAAGCGGAAUGCCUGGUGUAGCGGUGAAAUGCGUAGAUAUAAGGAAGAACACCAGUGGCGAAGGCGGCUUACUGGACGAUCACUGACGGUGAGGCGCGAAAGCGUGGGGAGCAAACAGGAUUAGAUACCCCGGUAGUC